AUAGGUUUACGGUGUGUGUUUUUUACUGCUGUAAUAAUAAAUUAUUGUUUUGUACCACAAUAUGAUCUCUGUUCCUUGAGUAAACCGAACCUGUAUUGUCCAGUCCGGCUCAAGGACUUCCCCCUCUUAUAAUAAAGAAAAGACCCUGGUGUUAUCCCAGUAGUUAGAAAUAAAUCAGCCCCCCCCCCCCCCUACUUGGUGUCACAUUUGGCGUUGCUGGCAGGACCAAGGACAGAGACAUGUUGCUUAAGCAUUUUUUUUGGAAUGUAUGUUUGUAAAUACCGUGCAGCUGAUUCCUUAUAAGGUCCAUACAAUUGUUGAUAGGCUUGUGUUUGUUGUAUUGUGGAGCAAAAGCAGCAGUUUGUGUGCCGGAGGACCCCUAAGACAACGCUUCCAGCAGUUUUCGGAGAAGACACGGUGUCAUCAUGGACGAGUAGAUGCAAGAACUUCGGGAGAUGGUGCAAAGGUUGAAGGCAGAUAAUGAGCGGCUGUUACAGGAAAGACAGUCCCUAAACCCGGUCCCGGGCUCCUCGACGGCACCUCCCUCUGCCAACGAUGGUAGUCUUGACUCUGCGCAACCACUCGGUACUUUCGGUAUGGAAACCUCUACUAGGUUGCCACCAGUUGUUGAGCGUGUGGUGUACAUUCCCAAGGAUAAGUGUUCCACCUUUACAGGAGAAGGAGACGUAUCGGUGAGGGAAUGGGUGGAUGAGGUGCAGUCAAAAUUUCGCACACGUAGGAUGUCUAUUGUAGAACAGGCCCAUUUCAUUUAUGACCAUUUAGGAGGAGCAGCAAGAGACGAAAUUAAGUAUCGUUCUAGACAGGUUCGGGAAGAUCCCAAACUAAUUUUUUCCAUCCUUCAGACUCAGUAUGGCUGUGCAGACUCACCUAUUGCUCUAUUGCAGAAUUUCCACUCUCGGAAACAGCAAGAAGGGGAGACAUUGCCCGUCCGAUGGGAGCGAGAAGGCAGACCACGGGAAGGGAGGCCGAGAAGCUAUUCUGUCCCGUCGGUUUAUAGCAUCCAUCAGGGCGCUUCCGUUUAUGCAGUUUUCUAAAACAUUGUCAGCCUUAA
This is a long non-coding RNA of Gasterosteus aculeatus aculeatus (three-spined stickleback), 1072 nucleotides long. The record is from Ensembl. NCBI's taxonomy places the organism in Eukaryota, Metazoa, Chordata, Actinopteri, Perciformes, Gasterosteidae.